AUCCUUCUAGGUCAUAUGAGCAUGAUGAUGAUUGAUUAGUUCAUGAGUAUUUAUGAAAUGUGUUGCCGUCUUGUUAAGUUUUGCACAUUGACCAAAUGAUU
Triplophysa dalaica is the source of this 101-nucleotide small nucleolar RNA. RefSeq annotates it as small nucleolar RNA U13. The record is from RefSeq and is a predicted model, not a curated record. Lineage: Eukaryota; Metazoa; Chordata; Actinopteri; Cypriniformes; Nemacheilidae. The transcript has a single exon.